CCUACGGGAGGCAGCAGUGGGGAAUAUUGCACAAUGGGGGAAACCCUGAUGCAGCGACGCCGCGUGAGUGAAGAAGUAUCUCGGUACGUAAAGCUCUUUCAGCAGGGAAGCUAAUGACGGUACCUGACCAAGAAGCCCCGGCUAACUACGUGCCAGCAGCCGCGGUAAUACGUAGGGGGCAAGCGUUAUCCGGAUUUACGGGGCGUAAAGGGAGCGUAGACGGCUGCACAAGUCUGGAGUGAAAUCCCGGGGCUUAACCCCGGAACUGCUUUGGAAACUGGGCGGCUGGAGUGGAGGAGGGGUAAGCGGAAUUCCUAGUGUAGCGGUGAAAUGCGUAGAUAUUGGGAAGAACACCGGUGGCGAAGGCAGCUUGCUGGACUGUAACUGACGUUGAGGCACGAAAGCGUGGGUAGCAAACAGGAUUAGAUACCCGUGUAGUC
Molecule: ribosomal RNA, 440 nt
Filed under: uncultured bacterium
Lineage: Bacteria
Description: partial 16S ribosomal RNA
Rfam family: Bacterial small subunit ribosomal RNA
Source: RNAcentral